GUUAGGGGCAGUUAGGGGAGGUGGGGGUGAGUUGCAUGUGUGGAACUGGGGGAGGCAUUGGUAGAGGUCAGGAGAACUGGGGGAGCAACUGGAGGUACUGGGGGCAACCAAGGACAGGAGGAUAGAGGCAAUUGCCCCCCGGGCAGCUGCAGUGGCCUCCAACACCCACAUUGCCAUCUUAGUCCCAGCUUCUCUGCAAGGUCAGCACCCAGCUGGGGCCAAGGCCUGUCCCCUCUCUGUCCCCAGUACCCUCACUUCACCUUUUGCUGUCUGCCAGCUGCCACACACACCUUUACUCACACCUUGCCAGGAGUAUCUCCAACUGAGAGAUCUCCAAGCCAGGAAAACCCAACCUAGAGUUACAAUGUCCCAUGAAGCCAAAAGCACAGCCUCAGAACGUCAUUACUGCUGCUUUGUGGGAUUGUGCAUUGGAUCCUACAGAAUCCAGCCACUGGGGCACUGGGAGGAGGUUGGAGAUGAGGGAAACAAAAGGCAAGCCCUCACAGAGACACAGUGUAAACACUGAUGCUGGUCCCUGUCCUGGAGUGGAUUUUGGUAUACAGACCCUCAUGGAUCUCCCUGCAGUGCCCACUCCCUGCCCAGACACAGGUUGAGUAGGGAAACCCUGACUCAAGGUCAUGACUUUAGAAAUUCUUAAAUUAUUUUCGGUUUAAGCAAUAUUUUAACAUGAUAACCCUCAUGCGUGCUGUAAAUAAACAGUGCUCUGACAGUGCCUGAAUCCAUGACCUGCACUGGGACAUUAUCACCUCCAUCCCAGCAAGAAGCAGGAGAGCUGGCAGACACAUCCCGGUUGGCAUUUCCUUGUGCGUUGGCCGAGCCCUGGCCGGCAGCAGUGUCCCUGCCCCGCAUGCAAAGGAGGGCUCUAAAAAGCAGCACUGGAGCAGGGAUCAUGCGA
Molecule: long non-coding RNA, 916 nt
Organism: Vidua chalybeata
Lineage: Eukaryota; Metazoa; Chordata; Aves; Passeriformes; Viduidae
Exons: 2
Source: RefSeq, a predicted model, not a curated record